CGAAAGCCUGACGGAGCAACGCCGCGUGUGGGAAGAAGGCUCUUGGGCUGUCAACCACUUUUCUCAGGGAAGAAGCUCUGACGGUACCUGAGGAAUCAGCAUCGGCUAACUCCGUGCCAGCAGCCGCGGUAAGACGGAGGAUGCAAGCGUUAUCCGGAAUUAUUGGGCGUAAAGCGUCCGCAGGUGGCGAUUCAAGUCUGCUGUCAAAGCACGGGGCUUAACUCCGUUAAGGCAGUGGAAACUGAAUGGCUAGAGUGCCGUAGGGGUAGAGGGAAUUCCCGGUGUAGCGGUGAAAUGCGUAGAGAUCGGGAAGAACAUCGGUGGCGAAAGCGCUCUACUGGACGGCAACUGACACUCAGGGACGAAAGCUAGGGGAGCG
This 379-nucleotide ribosomal RNA is filed under the name uncultured cyanobacterium. RNAcentral's name for it is "bacterial SSU rRNA". It matches the Rfam family "Bacterial small subunit ribosomal RNA", at positions 376 to 770 of the family's 1533-position model. Lineage: Bacteria; Bacillati; Cyanobacteriota. The record is from RNAcentral.